This 23-nucleotide non-coding RNA is filed under the name Cricetulus griseus (Chinese hamster). The record is from RNAcentral. Lineage: Eukaryota; Metazoa; Chordata; Mammalia; Rodentia; Cricetidae.
CGAUCCCCGUACGGGCCAGAAAG